CCUACGGGUGGCAGCAGUGGGGAAUAUUGGACAAUGGGGGCAACCCUGAUCCAGCCAUGCCGCGUGUGUGAAGAAGGCCCUCGGGUUGUAAAGCACUUUCAGUGAGGAAGAACGCCUGGUGGUUAAUACCCAUCAGGAAAGACAUCACUCACAGAAGAAGCACCGGCUAACUCCGUGCCAGCAGCCGCGGUAAUACGGAGGGUGCGAGCGUUAAUCGGAAUUACUGGGCGUAAAGCGCGCGUAGGUGGCUUGAUAAGCCGGUUGUGAAAGCCCCGGGCUCAACCUGGGAGCGGCAUCCGGAACUGUCAAGCUAGAGUGCAGGAGAGGAAGGUAGAAUUCCCGGUGUAGCGGUGAAAUGCGUAGAGAUCGGGAGGAAUACCAGUGGCGAAGGCGGCCUUCUGGACUGACACUGACGCUGAGGUGCGAAAGCGUGGGUAGCAAACAGGAUUAGAUACCCGUGUAGUC
RNAcentral lists this ribosomal RNA (465 nucleotides) under Vreelandella stevensii. Its description in RNAcentral is "partial 16S ribosomal RNA". It matches the Rfam family "Bacterial small subunit ribosomal RNA", at positions 338 to 795 of the family's 1533-position model. Lineage: Bacteria; Pseudomonadati; Pseudomonadota; Gammaproteobacteria; Oceanospirillales; Halomonadaceae. The record is from RNAcentral.